CCAGAUGAAAUAAGGGCAAAGACAGCCGUAUAACGUGCUGAGAGAAAUGGACCAGAAUGAAAAGUAGUGAUUCAUGGAGCACUGCAAGUCAGACCCUCCUUGGGUUUCAUUUUGAGAGCUACUGUGGGAUUGGGGUCAGUGAGGGCUGGCAUCCAGAUGAAGGGCAGCCAGGUUCCUCCUCCCUGGAGAUGUAGUGCCCGUCAAUCCCUCCCCUUAAUCCUUUUCUAUCCACCCCACCCCCACUAUUCCCUCACACUGACCAAUGUCCUGGGCCUUUAAGAAUUGGAGGGGCUGGACUGAGGAGAGCUCACACCUCUCCCCACCCUACUCCUUCCCUCUGGCUGUAACUGCCAGUCACAGCAGCAAACUGCGGUAGAAGAGGGAAGGAAGCGAAGGAUUGCAAGAGGAGCAAAAGAGAAAAGGAAGCUGGCAGGGUUUCCUCGUCCCACAGUGGAUAGCAUCGCGGAGCUCACAGACACAGGACUGCUACCCUGCCCACGGUAAGGGCCUGGAGGCUCUGACCAGCCUCUGCUCCAAGCUCUUCCUUGCCUGAGUCACUAACUCUGCCCUCCGUAGGUUUACCCACUCUGAUUAAAUUGUACCCUGGACUCCUUUGCCCAAACAGGUCUACAAGACUCCAACCUCCUGGUUCUCUCUAGCUUGGCCUCUUUGACUUAUGGCUUUCCCCCUGCUGUGUCAGUCACUUCUUUAUAUGGGGUCCUCGUAGCUGCCCAAGGCUGCCACUCAGAAGUGAGCCCCACGCUAGUAAGAGAAGGGAGAGAAUAGGAGCCUUGCUUUAGGUAGUUGGACUACAACUUCCAGAACUGUGACAGGAGGGAGUUCAGGGUUUCCCAGGCUUGCCUGUGUGUCAGGGGUGCUUGGUAAAGAUAAAUAUUUCUGAGCUCCAUCCUUGGAAAUGCUGAUCUGGUAGAUUUUGAGCGGGCCUAAGGAAUCUCUAUUUUAAGACACUCUUCAGGGGAUAUUGAUAUAGCCAGGAACCUCUGGAUUAGACACGUAGAGUCUUCGAGCUCUGACAUUCUGAGGGCUGUGACCUGUGACCAGAGCCAUUCUGUCCUCUUUAAACGAAGUAGGUCAGGCAUAAUCCUGCUCAGAAGCAAGAGAGUAGACAAAACGAUUUUCUUCCUGCCUGCCCUCAGAAGGACCUGAGACGCCCUGAAUUCCCCUGUAAUGCCAUUGGCACCACUGGCAACUCUGCCGAAGUCCAUCUAGACACAACCCACCUGGAAGUUGAGGACCAAAUCUUGCUCGGCAGCCCUGGCCACUUCCCACCUUAUUUUGUGUCUCUGUUUUCUUAUCUGUAUUGUAGAGGUAAUUAUCCAUAUCCUCAAGGAUCUCCACAUACAUUUCUAGGGGUGGACAGUUAAGACCCAAUCUCUCUGACUCUCAGUCUUCAUCCUCUGCUCCUUGCCUCUUGCUCUUGCUCCCACUCCCAAAUCCUUUGUCCCUUCUCUCCUAACUGCACUUGUUAUCAGCUGCGAUCAUCCUUCUCAUCCUACCUUCAGACACCAGAGGAAACAGCAAGACCUAGAACACCUAGGUUCUAAGUCCCAUUCUCUGGGCAGUUUGUUUGGUCAGUCUCCUAGGAUACAGGGGAAAGUGAGGCUGAGCAGAGGGACAUGCUGCUGAGUGUCUGAACCGAAGUGGCCUCCCUCCUGGACCACAGUCUCAAAUCCUCACAGGGGACGAGAACCAGAGCUGUUGGGGACUGAAGGAGAAACAAAAGAGGAAGAGGUGAUGGGGAGAAGGGAUGAGGAGAAGGAUGAGAAGAGGAGAGCAAAGAGAGGCUGCCUUAAGUUACUCUAGCAGCAGCUGGUGGAGCAGUGGGUCAUGGCGUUCCUGCUGCAAGGCCGGCUGCCUGUCAAUCAAGACCUCCUGCUGAUGCAGAAAGGCAUGUCGAUGCGCAAGGUGAGGUCCAAAAACUGGAAGAAACUGAGAUACUUCAGGCUUCAGGACGAUGGCAUGACAGUCUGGCAUGCCCGACAGGCUGGAGGCAGUGCCAAGCCCAGCUUCUCAAUCUCUGACGUGGAGACAGUGCGUGAGGGCCAUGAGUCUGAGUUACUGCGCAGCCUGGCAGAGGAGUUCCCCCUGGAGCAAGGCUUCACUGUCGUCUUCCAUGGCCGCCGCUCCAACCUGGACCUGGUGGCCAACAGUGUUGACGAGGCCCGGAUCUGGAUGCAGGGGCUCCAGCUGUUGGUGGACUUUGUCACCAGCAUGGACCAACAGGAGUGGCAGGACCAAUGGCUGAGUGACUGGUUCCAGCGUGGAGACAAAAACCAGGAUGGUCGGAUGACCUUCCAAGAAGUCCAGCGGUUACUGCGCCUGAUGAAUGUGGAAAUGGACCAAGAAUAUGCCUUCCAGCUUUUCCAGACAGCAGACACGUCCCAGUCUGGGACUCUGGAGGGAGAAGAAUUUGUCCAGUUCUAUAAGGCAUUGACUAAGCGUCCUGAGGUGCAGGAAAUCUUUGAAAACUUUUCAGCUGAUGGGCAGAAGCUGACCCUGCUGGAAUUUGUGGAUUUCCUCCGAGAGGAGCAGAAAGAAGGAGACCAUGCUUCUGACCUUGCUCUGGAACUCAUCGACCGCUAUGAGCCUUCAGAGAGCGGCAAACUGUGGCACGUGCUGAGUAUGGACGGCUUCCUCAGCUACCUCUGCUCAAAGGAUGGAGACAUCUUCAACCCGACCUGCCGCCCCAUCUACCAGGAUAUGACUCAACCCCUGAGCCACUACUACAUCAACUCCUCUCACAACACCUACCUAGUGGGGGAUCAGCUUUGUGGCCAGAGCAGCGUCGAGGGAUAUAUACGGGCCCUGAAGCGGGGUUGCCGCUGCGUGGAGGUGGAUAUAUGGGAUGGACCUAGCGGGGAACCUAUUGUUUAUCAUGGACACACCCUGACCUCCCGCAUCCUGUUCAAAGAUGUCGUGGCCACUGUAGCACAGUAUGCCUUCCAGACAUCAGACUAUCCAGUCAUCUUGUCCCUGGAGAACCACUGCAGCUGGGAGCAGCAGCAGAUCAUGGUACAGCACCUGACCGAGAUCCUGGGGGAGCUGCUGCUGAGAACCACCUUGGAUGGACUGCUGCCCACUCAGCUGCCCUCACCUGAGGAGCUUCGGAGGAAGGUCCUGGUGAAGGGGAAGAAAUUAAGGACACUUGAGGAGGAUCUGGAGGAAGAGGAAGAGGAGGAAGAGCUAGAGCCUGAACUGGAGGGGGAGCAGGAGGAUGAGCCGGAGCUGGAGGCCCAGUUUGAGUCUGAGUCCCAGAAGUUGAGCCCUCGCAGUAAAGACAAAAAGAAGGAGAAGGUUGUGAUGUGCCCGCUGUUUUGUCCGCCUCCCUGUUGUGAGGUUAUGGUCCAGGCUCCUAUUUCCAAGCCUGGGGUCCUUCUCUUUCCCAAGCAGAAAUUCAAGCCCAGCUUGUGUCCAUCUCUCUCUGCCCUGGUUGUGUACUUGAAGUCUGUCUCAUUCCACAGCUUCACUCAUUCGAGGGAGCACUACCGCUUCUAUGAGAUAUCAUCUUUUUCUGAAACGAAAGCCAAGAGCCUCAUCAAAGAGGCUGGCAAUGAGUUUGUGCAACACAACGCCUGGCAGUUAAGCCGUGUAUAUCCCAGUGGCCUGAGGACAGAUUCGUCCAACUACAACCCCCAGGAACUCUGGAAUGCAGGCUGCCAGAUGGUGGCUAUGAAUGUGCAGACUGCGGGGCUUGAGAUGGACAUCCAUGAUGGGCUCUUCCGCCAGAAUGGUGGCUGUGGCUACGUGCUGAAGCCAGACUUCCUGCGUGAUGCCCAGAGUUCCUUCCACCCUGAGAGGCCCAUCAGCCCUUGCAAAGCCCAGACCCUCAUAAUCCAGCCCUGGUUGCAGGUGAUCAGUGGUCAGCAACUCCCCAAAGUGAACAAGACCAAAGAGGGCUCCAUUGUGGAUCCACUGGUGAGAGUGGAGAUAUUUGGCAUCCGCCCAGAUACAACCUACCAAGAGACCAACUAUGUGGAGAACAAUGGUUUUAAUCCAUACUGGGGGCAGACACUCUGCUUCCGGGUCCUGGUGCCUGAACUGGCACUGCUGCGUUUUGUGGUGAAAGAUUAUGACUGGAAAUCCCGACAUGACUUUGUUGGUCAGUACACCCUGCCUUGGACUUGCAUGAAACAAGGUGAGCCAGUCCUUCGACCCCCUGGCCAACACCCCAGCUCUGGCUGCCUUCCUAACACCGUCCUCCUGCCCCUUUCCAGGUUACCGCCACAUACACCUUCUCUCCAAGGAUGGCACCAGCCUCCAGCCAGCUUCCAUCUUUGUGCACAUCUGCACCCGAGAAGGGCUGGAGGGGGAUGAAUCCUGAGGCGGGCACUUCAUGGGAAGGGUGGCUACACUGGCUUUGGAUGCUCUAGCUCAAAGGCAGACUACAACUGGAAAUCCAGAGGGCAGAGAAACCCAGAGGCAUUAUCCCCUCCACCCCUCACUUCCUCCAAGAUCAGAGCCUUGGAAAAACAGAUCCAGCCUCAAGGCUCCCCAGGCAAAGGCUGAGGAAAGAGACCUGACUCCCAGACUGUACUGUGACUCUCAAGACAACACCGUAUAGCCCCCAAAUCCCCAGUGGACUGCUCCUCCCUAGUCCCACCGGUAUAAAUACAGCUGCUCUCCCCAA
Molecule: non-coding RNA, 4648 nt
Organism: Equus caballus (horse)
Lineage: Eukaryota; Metazoa; Chordata; Mammalia; Perissodactyla; Equidae
Source: RefSeq, a predicted model, not a curated record